AGCGAACGCUGGCGGCAGGCCUAACACAUGCAAGUCGAACGAACUCUUCGGAGUUAGUGGCGGACGGGUGAGUAACACGUGGGAACGUGCCUUUUGGUUCGGAAUAACUCAGGGAAACUUGUGCUAAUACCGAAUGUGCCCUUCGGGGGAAAGAUUUAUCGCCAUUAGAGCGGCCCGCGUCUGAUAAGCUAGUUGGUGAGGUAACGGCGCACCAAGGCAACGAUCAGUAGCUGGUCUGAGAGGAUGACCAGCCACACUGGGACUGAGACACGGCCCAGACUCCUACGGGAUGCAGCAGUGGGGAAUCUUGCGCAAUGGGCGAAAGCCUGACGCAGCCAUGCCGCGUGAAUGAUGAAGGUCUUAGGAUAGUAAAAUUCUUUCACCGGGGACGAUAAUGACGGUACCCAAAGAAGAAGCCCCGGCUAACUUCGUG
RNAcentral lists this ribosomal RNA (433 nucleotides) under uncultured bacterium. Its description in RNAcentral is "partial 16S ribosomal RNA". It matches the Rfam family "Bacterial small subunit ribosomal RNA", at positions 29 to 507 of the family's 1533-position model. The record is from RNAcentral.